GUCAGUGUAGUUUAACGGUUAGAACCUAUACUUGUGGUGUAUAUGGACUGAGUUCGAUUCUCAGUAUUGACC
This 72-nucleotide transfer RNA is filed under the name Babjeviella inositovora NRRL Y-12698. It matches the Rfam family "tRNA". From Rfam's summary of the family: Transfer RNA (tRNA) molecules are approximately 80 nucleotides in length. Their secondary structure includes four short double-helical elements and three loops (D, anti-codon, and T loops). Lineage: Eukaryota; Fungi; Ascomycota; Pichiomycetes; Serinales. The record is from Rfam by way of RNAcentral.